This 497-nucleotide ribosomal RNA is filed under the name uncultured bacterium. RNAcentral describes it as "partial 16S ribosomal RNA". It matches the Rfam family "Bacterial small subunit ribosomal RNA", at positions 28 to 507 of the family's 1533-position model. The record is from RNAcentral.
GACGAACGCUGGCGGCGUGCCUAAUACAUGCAAGUCGAGCGGACAGACGGGAGCUUGCUCCCUGAUGUUAGCGGCGGACGGGUGAGUAACACGUGGGUAACCUGCCUGUAAGACUGGGAUAACUCCGGGAAACCGGGGCUAAUACCGGAUGGUUGUCUGAACCGCAUGGUUCCGACAUAAAAGGUGGCUUCGGCUACCACUUACAGAUGGACCCGCGGCGCAUUAGCUAGUUGGUGAGGUAACGGCUCACCAAGGCAACGAUGCGUAGCCGACCUGAGAGGGUGAUCGGCCACCCUGGGACUGAGACACGGCCCAGACUCCUACGGGAGGCAGCAGUAGGGAAUCUUCCGCAAUGGACGACAGUCUGACGGAGCAACGCCGCGUGAGUGAUGAAGGUUUUCGGAUCGUAAAGCUCUGUUGUUAGGGAAGAACAAGUGCCGUUCAAAUAGGGCGGCACCUUGACGGUACCUAACCAGAAAGCCACGGCUAACUACGUG